GACGAACGCUGGCGGCGUGCUUAACACAUGCAAGUCGAACGGUGAAGCGCCUUCCUUUUUGGUGGGUGUGGAUGAGUGGCGAACGGGUGAGUAACACGUGAGUAACCUGCCCCCUUCUUCUGGAUAACCGCAUGAAAGUGUGGCUAAUACGGGAUAUUCUGGGUCUGUCGCAUGAUGGGUCUGGGAAAGAUAUUGUUUCGGUGGGGGAUGGGCUCGCGGCCUAUCAGCUUGUUGGUGGGGUGAUGGCCUACCAAGGCGGUGACGGGUAGCCGGCCUGAGAGGGUGGACGGUCACACGGGGAAUGAGACCCGGCCAAGACUCCUACGGGAGGCAGCAGUGGGGAAUAUUGCACAAUGGGCGCAAGCCUGAUGCAGCGACGCCGCGUGAGGGAUGGAGGCCUUCGGGUUGUGAACCUCUUUCGCCAGUGAAGCAGGCCUGCCUCGUUUGUGGGUGGGUUGACGGUAGCUGGAUAAGAAGCGCCGGCUAACUACGUG
Molecule: ribosomal RNA, 494 nt
Filed under: uncultured bacterium
Lineage: Bacteria
Description: partial 16S ribosomal RNA
Rfam family: Bacterial small subunit ribosomal RNA
Source: RNAcentral